ACUCUGUCUCUUAAAAAAUAAUAUAAAAAUUUAAAAUAAUUUUAUACAUUAUGUUAAAAUACACAUAAAAUUAACUAUUUUAACCAUUUUAAAGGUUUCCAUUGAGAUGAAUUAGGUACACUCAUUAUUUUGCUACCAUCAUUCCAUAUAUAAAAAGCAUAUUCCAUUUUUUGAAACUGAAACUGUACCCAUUAAACAACUCCUUAUUCUCCCUGUAGCCCCUGGGAAACACCCUCCUACUUUGUGUUUUCUAUGAAUUUAACUACUCUUAAGUACCACAUAUGAGAAGAAUCAUAUAGUAAAGAAAUCAUGAGGAAGAAUGAUAAAAAAUGUAUCACAUCCUUAUUAAUUUUCAAUAAAAACACCAACAGAGAUCAGUAGUACCUGUUGAUUAUAAAUAAACAGAUAAAUGAGAAAAAGGAA
Molecule: small RNA, 423 nt
Filed under: Pan troglodytes (chimpanzee)
Lineage: Eukaryota; Metazoa; Chordata; Mammalia; Primates; Hominidae
Description: processed transcript
Source: RNAcentral